CUCCUCUCUCUGUCUGAGGAGAACAGAAAGGUGACAGGUUGGAGAGAGAAGCAGCCGUAUCCUGAUCACCCAGAGAGAUUUGAGGACUGUGGACAGGUGCUGUGUAGAGAGGGUCUGUCUGGGCGCUGUUACUGGGAGGUAGAGUGGAGUGGGGGAUGGGCUGAUAUAGGAGUGACAUAUAAAGGAAUCAGCAGGAGAAGAAGGGGUGAUGACUGUUGGCUUGGAUACAAUGACAAGUCCUGGAGUCUGUUCUGUUCUGACAACAGUUACAUAGCCAGGCACAAUAAUAAUGACACUACCAUAGACGUCCCCUCCUCCAGCUCCCACAGAGUAGGAGUGUAUCUGGACUGGCCAGCCGGCACUCUGUCCUUCUAUAGAGCCUCCUCUGACACACUGACCCACCUGAUCACAUUCACAUCCACAUUCACUGAGCCCCUCUAUCCAGGGUUUGGGGUUAAUUAUGAUGGCGACUCAGUGUCCCUGAAAUUAUAACCUGACACACACACACACACACACACACACUGCACACAUACACUGGACACACACACACACACUGGACACACACACACUGGACACACACACACAUACGCGUCUUCCUAUAAUUGUGAGGACUUUGACCAGGACCUUCAAAUGAGGACCAUCAUUUCUGAUAGAACUGGGAACAAACAGACACCUCAUUCCAGCACUAAGUGGUCCCACAAACACAGAGGUGAAAAUACUACAGGAAUAUUCUGCAAAUGUUGAUGAAGAUGUCACUCAAUCCACCCAAAACAACAUGCAGUCUUUCCACAAGACUCCCAUGAAGUUAUAGUGACGUUAUGAGUUGACGUUAAAGUAACAUUCUCAGAACAUACUGCACUUGUUUUAUCAUGUUUUAGAUGUAUCCUCUGUUUAAACAUGUAAACUCUUACAAUAACACUGUUAAAAUACCAAUGUGAUCAUUUGUUAUAUGUCUUUUAUGUUGAAAAACAGAUUGUACAAUUAUAUAUGGACAUACGCUCCAUAGUUAUACAAGUAUACAAGGAUAUAUUGUACUUUCAUAAUAAAACAGACUUGAAACAAGAAAACUAUGUUAA
Salmo salar (Atlantic salmon) is the source of this 1076-nucleotide non-coding RNA. The record is from RefSeq and is a predicted model, not a curated record. Lineage: Eukaryota; Metazoa; Chordata; Actinopteri; Salmoniformes; Salmonidae.